This 624-nucleotide ribosomal RNA is filed under the name uncultured bacterium. Its description in RNAcentral is "bacterial SSU rRNA". It matches the Rfam family "Bacterial small subunit ribosomal RNA", at positions 774 to 1397 of the family's 1533-position model. The record is from RNAcentral.
AGGAUUAGAUAGCGUGGUAGUCCACGCCGUAAACGAUGAUAACUAGCUGUCAGGGUUCACAGAACUUUGGUGGCGCAGCUAACGCAUUAAGUUAUCCGCCUGGGGAGUACGGUCGCAAGAUUAAAACUCAAAGGAAUUGACGGGGGCCUGCACAAGCGGUGGAGCAUGUGGUUUAAUUCGAAGCAACGCGCAGAACCUUACCAGCGUUUGACAUGCCUAGUAUGGUUUCCAGAGAUGGAUUCCUUCAGUUCGGCUGGCUAGUGCACAGGUGCUGCAUGGCUGUCGCCAGCUCGUGUCGUGAGAUGUUGGGUUAAGUCCCGCAACGAGCGCAACCCUCGUCUUUAGUUACCAUCAUUUAGUUGGGUACUNUAAAGAAACCGCCGGUGAUAAGCCGGAGGAAGGUGGGGAUGACGUCAAGUCCUCAUGGCCCUUACGCGCUGGGCUACACACGUGCUACAAUGGCGACUACAGUGGGCUGCAAUCCCGCGAGGGUGAGCUAAUCUCCAAAAGUCGUCUCUGUUCGGAUUGUUCACUGCAACUCGAGAGCAUGAAGGCGGAAUCGCUAGUAAUCGCGGAUCAGCAUGCCGCGGUGAUACGUUCCCAGGCCUUGUACACACCGCCCGU